This 502-nucleotide ribosomal RNA is filed under the name uncultured bacterium. Its description in RNAcentral is "partial 16S ribosomal RNA". It matches the Rfam family "Bacterial small subunit ribosomal RNA", at positions 28 to 523 of the family's 1533-position model. The record is from RNAcentral.
GUUGAACGCUAGCGGCAUGCCUUACACAUGCAAGUCGAACGGCAGCGGGGGAGCUUGCUCCCGCCGGCGAGUGGCGAACGGGUGAGUAAUACAUCGGAACGUACCCAGUAGCGGGGGAUAGCCCGGCGAAAGCCGGAUUAAUACCGCAUACGCCCUACGGGGGAAAGGGGGGGAUCGCAAGACCUCUCACUAUUGGAGCGGCCGAUGGCUGAUUAGCUAGCUGGUGGGGUAAAGGCCUACCAAGGCGACGAUCAGUAGCUGGUCUGAGAGGACGACCAGCCACACUGGGACUGAGACACGGCCCAGACUCCUACGGGAGGCAGCAGUGGGGAAUUUUGGACAAUGGGCGAAAGCCUGAUCCAGCAAUGCCGCGUGUGCGAAGAAGGCCUUCGGGUUGUAAAGCACUUUUGUCAGGGAAGAAAUCGUUUGGGUUAAUACCCCGAGCAGUUGACGGUACCUGAAGAAUAAGCACCGGCUAACUACGUGCCAGCCGCCGCAGUAA